ACGUCCUCGUGCGCUUCCUUACGGCUGCCUGUGGGCGCCAUCUUCUAAAGGGGCAGAUUCUCACACCUGCGGCUGGGCCGGGCUGUGGGGCGCGGUCAUCAGCUGCAAAUUAUAAGCCUGAUGAGGUGGGACAGGCAGGAUGGAGAGGAGGAGCAGCCUGGUUCAGCAAAGGUCACGUAGCAGAAGUGGGAAGCGAUGGCUGUUUCUGCAUACCUUGUGAACAUCUGGAGCUGCCCCAGGAUAACCCUGUCUGGAGGGCAGCAAUGAACAUAGAGCUGUACUGUUUUAAUAUCAGAUGGGGCCAGCAGGUACACUGACAAUGGAGAGAUUUGUAGCAGAAUUCCACCAAUUUUCUCCAGAAUGCACAUGCU
This is a non-coding RNA of Phalacrocorax carbo (great cormorant), 371 nucleotides long. The record is from RefSeq and is a predicted model, not a curated record. NCBI's taxonomy places the organism in Eukaryota, Metazoa, Chordata, Aves, Suliformes, Phalacrocoracidae.